This is a non-coding RNA of Cinara cedri, 288 nucleotides long. The record is from the annotation of a GenBank genome assembly. Lineage: Eukaryota; Metazoa; Arthropoda; Insecta; Hemiptera; Aphididae.
UACAGUAAACAUUCAUUAAAGCAUUUUAAUUAUCUCAAAAAUGUUUUGUAGCUGAAAGUAUAUUUAUCGGGUAUUCCAAUAAAUUGAGCACAAACACUAUCUCAGAAUAAGUCGAUUUUUUCUUAGUGUUAUUUUCUAUUACCUUUUAAAAAGAUGAUGUUAUGACACUUAUGGUAAUUUUAUAAUUAUAGUUGAAAACGAUUACAGAAAUCCGAAUCGUCGAUCGAUAAAUUGGAACCCGUAAGAAUAAUAAAACUUUAAUUUAAUUGUAUUUCAAAACGGUUAGAA